GACGAACCGUGCGAACGUUGUUCGGAAUCACUGGGCUUAAAGGGCGCGUAGGCGGGGUGGACAGUCUAUGGUGAAAUCCUCCGGCUCAACCGGAGAACUGCCGUGGAUACUGCCACUCUCGAGGGGUGUAGGGGCAUGCGGAACUUCGGGUGGAGCGGUGAAAUGCGUAGAUAUCCGAAGGAACGCCGGUGGCGAAAGCGGCGUGCUGGACACCUUCUGACGCUGAGGCGCGAAAGCCAGGGGAGCAAACGGG
This 253-nucleotide ribosomal RNA is filed under the name uncultured bacterium. Its description in RNAcentral is "partial 16S ribosomal RNA". It matches the Rfam family "Bacterial small subunit ribosomal RNA", at positions 524 to 776 of the family's 1533-position model. The record is from RNAcentral.